RNAcentral lists this ribosomal RNA (432 nucleotides) under uncultured bacterium. Its description in RNAcentral is "partial 16S ribosomal RNA". It matches the Rfam family "Bacterial small subunit ribosomal RNA", at positions 29 to 507 of the family's 1533-position model. The record is from RNAcentral.
ACGAACGCUGGCGGCAUGCCUAACCCAUGCCAGUCGAACGAGACCUUCGGGUCUAGUGGCGCCCGGGUGCGUAACGCGUGGGAACCUGCCCUUAGGUUCGGAAUAACUCCCCGAAAGGGGUGCUAAUACCGGAUAAUGUCUUCGGACCAAAGAUUUAUCGCCUUUGGAUGGGCCCGCGUUGGAUUAGCUAGUUGGUAGGGUAAAAGCCUACCAAGGCGACGAUCCAUAGCUGGUCUGAGAGGAUGAUCAGCCACACUGGGACUGAGACACGGCCCAGACUCCUACGGGAGGCAGCAGUGGGGAAUAUUGGACAAUGGGCGAAAGCCUGAUCCAGCAAUGCCGCGUGAGUGAUGAAGGCCUUAGGGUUGUAAAGCUCUUUUACCCGGGAUGAUAAUGACAGUACCGGGAGAAUAAGCUCCGGCUAACUCCGUG